This 492-nucleotide ribosomal RNA is filed under the name uncultured bacterium. RNAcentral's name for it is "partial 16S ribosomal RNA". It matches the Rfam family "Bacterial small subunit ribosomal RNA", at positions 29 to 507 of the family's 1533-position model. The record is from RNAcentral.
AGUGAACGCUGGCGGUAGGCCUAACACAUGCAAGUCGAACGGCAGCACAGUAAGAGCUUGCUCUUACGGGUGGCGAGUGGCGGACGGGUGAGGAAUACAUCGGAAUCUACUUUUUCGUGGGGGAUAACGUAGGGAAACUUACGCUAAUACCGCAUACGACCUACGGGUGGAAGCAGGGGAUCUUCGGACCUUGCGCGAUUGAAUGAGCCGAUGUCGGAUUAGCUAGUUGGCGGGGUAAAGGCCCACCAAGGCGACGAUCCGUAGCUGGUCUGAGAGGAUGAUCAGCCACACUGGAACUGAGACACGGUCCAGACUCCUACGGGAGGCAGCAGUGGGGAAUAUUGGACAAUGAGCGCAAGCCUGAUCCAGCCAUACCGCGUGGGUGAAGAAGGCCUUCGGGUUGUAAAGCCCUUUUGUUGGGAAAGAAAAGCAGCAGGUUAAUACCCCGCUGUUCUGACGGUACCCAAAGAAUAAGCACCGGCUAACUUCGUG